RNAcentral lists this ribosomal RNA (497 nucleotides) under uncultured bacterium. RNAcentral's name for it is "partial 16S ribosomal RNA". It matches the Rfam family "Bacterial small subunit ribosomal RNA", at positions 28 to 507 of the family's 1533-position model. The record is from RNAcentral.
GACGAACGCUGGCGGCGUGCCUAAUACAUGCAAGUUGAGCGAUGAAGAUUGGUGCUUGCACCAAUUUGAAGAGCAGCGAACGGGUGAGUAACGCGUGGGGAAUCUGCCUUUGAGCGGGGGACAACAUUUGGAAACGAAUGCUAAUACCGCAUAACAACUUUAAACAUAAGUUUUGAGUUUGAAAGAUGCAAUUGCAUCACUCAAAGAUGAUCCCGCGUUGUAUUAGCUAGUUGGUGAGGUAAAGGCUCACCAAGGCGAUGAUACAUAGCCGACCUGAGAGGGUGGUCGGCCACAUUGGGAAUGAGACACGGCCCAAACUCCUACGGGAGGCAGCAGUAGGGAAUCUUCGGCAAUGGACGAAAGUCUGACCGAGCAACGCCGCGUGAGUGAAGAAGGUUUUCGGAUCGUAAAACUCUGUUGGUAGAGAAGAACGUUGGUGAGAGUGGAAAGCUCAUCAAGUGACGGUAACUACCCAGAAAGGGACGGCUAACUACGUG